UGCAAGUUCAAGGAGGCCAGACACGCCAAGGCUCUCGUCCUCUUCUACCAUGAAGUGCUAGGGGCUACGUGAGGAUGGAAUAUGGAUGCUUACUGCUGGACGUCGUCAAGCUGCACGAUGAAAUGCACAACAGAGGGAACUGCAAGCCCACAAUGCAGGAGCACUUACUCUAUAUUUAGGCAUUAUAUGUUGAGAUCAGUUGCAUAGUCGGUUGUAUGGCUCUAUAAGAUAAUCCAACAUGCGAAGGCCUUUGCAUUACCCAUGGUUGCUUCUACUGAUAUGAAUCACAUAAACAAGUUACUGGAUGGUGUCAAUGAUUUGGAUGACAAUCUUGACCUCAAGAAUCUGCACAUUACCUUUGAGGAGUUCUAUUGGAACCAUUUGCAAUGGCUAUCUUUAGCUAUGGCAAAGUAAACAAUUUGUUGAUGGAAGGCUCUAAAA
Long non-coding RNA from Sorghum bicolor (sorghum), 441 nucleotides. RefSeq lists it as uncharacterized. The transcript is spliced from 3 exons. Lineage: Eukaryota; Viridiplantae; Streptophyta; Magnoliopsida; Poales; Poaceae. The record is from RefSeq and is a predicted model, not a curated record.